GCGCUCGCUUCAGCAGCAUACACACUAAAACUGGAACAUAACAGAGAUUAGCAUGGCCCCUGUGCAAGGAUGACACGCAAAUUCGUGAAGUGUCCCAUAUUAAA
RNAcentral lists this small nuclear RNA (104 nucleotides) under Ursus americanus (American black bear). The record is from RNAcentral. Lineage: Eukaryota; Metazoa; Chordata; Mammalia; Carnivora; Ursidae.